GCGGAGGAAAAGAAAGCAACAGCGAUAGCCUCAGUAACGGCGAGUGAAGCGGCUACAGCUCAAAUUUGAAAUCUGGCUCCCUUUGGGCGUCCGAGUUGUAAUUUGCAGAGGAUGCUUUGGCAUUGGCGGCGGUCUAAGUUCCUUGGAACAGGACAUCGCAGAGGGUGAGAAUCCCGUACGUGGGCGCCUGCCUUUGCCGUGUAAAGCUCCUUCGACGAGUCGAGUUGUUUGGGAAUGCAGCUCUAAAUGGGAGGUAAAUUUCUCCUAAAGCUAAAUACCGGCCAGAGACCGAUAGCGCACAAGUAGAGUGAUCGAAAGAUGAAAAGUACUUUGGAAAGAGAGUCAAAUAGCACGUGAAAUUGUUGAAAGGGAAGCGCUUGCAGCCAGACUUGCCCGCAGUUGCUCACCCAGGCUUUUGCCUGGGGCACUCUUCUGCGGGCAGGCCAGCAUCAGUUUGGGCGGUCGGAUAAAGGUCUCUGUCAUGUACCACCCCUCGGGGUGGCCUUAUAGGGGAGACGCAAUGCGACCAGCCCGGACUGAGGUCCGCGCAUCUGCUAG
Molecule: non-coding RNA, 558 nt
Filed under: Pseudopithomyces sacchari
Lineage: Eukaryota; Fungi; Ascomycota; Dothideomycetes; Pleosporales; Didymosphaeriaceae
Description: sequence contains 28S rRNA gene
Rfam family: Eukaryotic large subunit ribosomal RNA
Source: RNAcentral